This is a long non-coding RNA of Lagopus muta (rock ptarmigan), 5052 nucleotides long. RefSeq lists it as uncharacterized. The transcript has 3 exons. Lineage: Eukaryota; Metazoa; Chordata; Aves; Galliformes; Phasianidae. The record is from RefSeq and is a predicted model, not a curated record.
GUGGAAUAUCUCUGUUCCACUGUUCUAGCCCUGGCUGAUGACCCGGAGACUGGUACUGCAUUUAUCAAGCACAAAGGCUCCUUUAUCUGAGUUUGAUGUGUACAUCGGCUUCCUGUCAACUCAUGGGAGGUUGGCUGAAGAAGCAGGAUGAAGCACUUUCCUUUUGCCUUCAAGAACUUUGUGUUCACAUCCUGGGUAUUGUCUGAAAUGACAGAAAGCCUAACUGAUUUUCUAUGGAUUCAGCCUCCCAGUUCCAGCCUAUCUUUUCAGAAAGAAAAUUGCCACACCAGGCAACAAUAGACUGUGUACAAUUGAAACAGCUUCUAUUUUCCAUGAACCUAUUGACUCACUCAUUUUUCAAGACCCCUUUCCAAACACAUUUUUUACAACGAAUCCUCCAUCGCUAACAUUCAUGCACAAACUGCUGGAAAGAAAGAAAACCAAGCUACUUGUUUGUACAGGAAUGAGAAUGGUGCUGUGGUUAAGAUGAUUUGCCCGUGACUCAAAACAGAAGGAUUCCAAGAUAUGACUUCUGUAUAUGUUUGUACUGAUUGUUUACCUCACCUUUUGUUUACAUUGUCAUUAUCCUAAAGAAUGCAUUAUGAUAACAGUACUUCCAAAACUCCCCAGGAUAAUGUAUGUAUUUUCCUAAUUUUCAGGGGAAAAAGCGCGUUCACUAGUUGUAGUUACACAUAUGAGUAAUUAAGUUACUAUAAAGAGUGCUAUAUUGUAAUUACCCAUCUAUGCCAACCUUCUUAAACAAACUUUCUCUAAAUUCUGCAUCUAUGCUAAGAGCACUGGGCAAGCAAACACCAGGUGAGUAAGGAGACCAAACCUUGUUAUGGUAACUAGAUAGGCACCACCCAAUGAAGGUUGCCCAAGGCAAUGGGCAGCUGGAUUAAAAACAAAGAAAUUCCUCUUUCACAAAUGAACUCCUCCCCAGCAGCAUACAAACGUGUCCAUACUAGCUCUCCAUUGUUCAAAAACAAAAAAUUAUGAAAGCAGCCUUCCAGUCAUUUCUACCUAGCAACAGGCUCCCUUACAAGCAUUAAGUGCUUCAUCACAAGUAUGUAUGCCAGUCUGCCCUGCGGGGCUCCCCUACUUUCCUUCAGAAUAAUAAUACAAAAGGCCUUAGUGAGCAUGUAGUAGUGUAUGCUUCAUACAUCAUUAAAUUGCCUUCUAGCAGCACCAUCUUGUUAGCAAAGCACUGUCUAAUCAGUUACUUAGUAAGAUAUGUCCUUCCCAGUAGCAGGUGGAAAACAUGCAGACCCUCUAAUGGGCAAGCCCUUGGAAAUCUUUCCAGCAAAUAUUUUUUUCCAACCUGAUAAGCCUCCACAAAAUAGUGCCUCUGUGACAAAAUGGUGUUUGCUGCCAUUACAAAAGGGGAAGGGAAAGACAUUUGAGAUCUUUACCUGCAGUUCUCACCUACUUCCCUUCAAACUGUACUGUCCACCCUUCUGCUUCUUUCAGUCGCAUGGACAUGAGCAUCCCUAUGAUUGUGAGCACUUGACCUGACCUCACAUCAGCUAAGCAACACAAUUUUCAGAGAGCUGCUCUGUGUACUUACCAUAGCACCAAUCUCACUGACCAUAUUUUUAAUCACUCUGAUGUUUGCAUCCACAUGGUGCACACCUCUGGGCCCAGGAACCUUAACACACUGUCAAUCUGUACAGAACUGUGCACUGUCUCUAUCCAUAUAUAACAGAAGUAAUUAUUCUUAGUAAAUAAAUAUACUAGCUCAUUUAAAAUGAAUCAUGUUCUCCAGUUGUAUUGCAGAAUGAACAAAAUAGAGAAAGCUACAAGGCUUUCUCUUUACUUUAUCACUUUAAAAUACUUCUUAUAUAAUUAUUACGAAAUUGCAUUAAGCUAUGACUCAUUCCUGCAAAUGCAGGGUUCAUUGAGGGUAAUUAAAAUAAGUCACUAUCUCUACAAGGCAGUGACUCAUAGGCUGCUGCCCAUAUCAGAGUGAGUGAAGUCAGAAGAUCCUUUCUUCCCACUGAAAAAGCAAUAACGGUUUUAUUAAAGCAAUGAGUAGACCUCAGUUUGUCCUUGACGUAACUUCAUCUAGCCAGCAGGUUUAGUUUUUGAAGUCCCUAUCGAGAAAAUUAAAUCAACUACAUAUUACCAGAAGCGUCUUACUUGAACUCUAGCUAAAAUGAAGGGGGUCUGCACAAUUGCGAUAUGUCCAGAUGUAUUUCAUAGAAAUAUAGAAUCAUAGAAUGGACAUAAAUAAUUCAAACCCUUGGAAAAUAUUACCUAAAAAGGUGUUGUCUUUGUGUGGUUGCAUAGCAGCCAUCUAAUCAAAAGUUGCUGACAGCAAGGUGCCAUACAUAGGAAGAGUAUAUGGGUCAUUUCAUGAUAAAAGUAUAGUUACAGCUGAGAUCAACAGAGAGCACCCAAUUGCCAGGAAGAGAAAUGGAAUAGUAUCAUGCCUCUCUGAUACUGUGCGAGGAAUUACAGCAAGACAGCCUUCGCACAUACACAUAUCAGCACAAUAAUACCCGACAGAAACAUUGGAAUUAAUUCACUCAACUGCUUUUUAAAGCAUUUGGUCAGGCUGGGUCAGAAUGAUUUGUACUGUCUGCAAAUCUAAUAAUCAAAAUGCAAAACUACUGAAGAAAAUGAAUACAAAAGAAGAAUUUAACUGUAUUUCUCUCCCAAACUACAGCAGUAAUGACAGCUCAUAAGCAGAUCUUUGUUUAUCACUGUUUUUUGUGCUCUAUAGUUCGUGCUCUGUAUUUUCCAGUAAGCUCUCUUCUGCUAUAUGCAUUUUAUUUUUUUCUGUUCUUUUCAUAUACUUUUCUGCUCAUUUGAUGUGGGAAAAGCCAGAGAUCAAAUACAUUUCUGGCUGAAAUUCUUAGCAGUAUCUCACAUCAGAAGAUUGCUGUCCACAUGAUGAGAAUUAACUUAGGGAAAAGAGUAUUCUUUCAGUGUAUAAAUUAAUCCAAAAUCUGGCAAUGUAGAGAAAUGUAUUUCUUGGGAAUAUAAGAUUAAGCAAAUAGCGUAUCAAAAUAACGCAUUAUCAUUAUAAAUCCCUUUUCAAUAACAUGGAUCAUAAGUGUCGGAAUCUGUGACAGUUCAGUUCAGUAUUAAUUAACCAGCUUCUUUUUCUUAAAGCUUAGCAUGAAAGUUUGCAAAAGCCUAUGCAAUAUUAAUAAUGUAACACGUGCAGAGUUUAAGCUGUUCUAUGAGUCUAAUCAAAAUGAAUUUGUUAAUGAAGCUACAGAAAUACAGAAAGAGGUGCAGACUUCAUGAUGUCCAACCAAGUUAAUUUAGGGCAGGGCUUUAAGCAGUUACUUUCCCCCUAAGGCUUCCCAGAAAUUUCCCAACUAUCAAGAAGUUGCUUCAUCUAUUUCUCUGCACCAAGGGGGACAUUAACAUAUAAUCUUGACAAGCUCCAUUUGUAUAUGAAUCAUAAUAUUUUAUAUAGGUUCCAGGGCCAAAAGGGAGGGUGGAAUAUAUUUAGCAAAUGUUUUUGUUUGUCUGCUUUAUUUUUAAGAUGUUUAAUAGCCAGUCUAUUUAUUUUCCUUGCUGGGAAGUGAGAUGGUGACUGAUACAAGCAAUCUGCUUUGGAACUGGUACCCAGAUUUGCAGAUAUGCAUGGUAUAUUAUGUGCUAUGGGCCCACUUGUGUGAAGAAAAUGGAAACAUUUUUAUAAUAUUCAAUUACUUUUUCCUUCUCACUCUUUCUAACAUCAAAAGUUUCAGAUCAGGUAGGAAGAAGUGGAAGUCUUUUAUAGCUAAUCUUCGCAUCAGUCUGCUCUUCAUGUCUCAUUAAUAUAGUUCCUGAUACUUAUGGUUCAGGACUUCAUAUGGUAGAACCAAUUAGCUCUCACCAUUUGUUACAUGUUGUAUCUAACUGUCAGGUGGAAACUUUGAACAUUGUCUUCCUGAUAGAUCACUUAUAAUUGUGGCUAUCUUAUAUUAAAUGAGCUUUUCAUUUCAAAACAGUGAGUCAUGGACACAUAGAGGCACUCUAAAAACCAGCAUCACAAAUAACCAGUGAGUAAAUCUUGUUGACUGUUUCAGCAGAGGUGAUCAUUUUGUGAUACAGAAGUCUGGAUAAUGACAGAAUCCUGCUCUGCCAACUGUAAUGAUGUUUUUUUAUUAGUGUUCUGGCUUCUCUCUCCAACAUUUCCUUCAUAUAAAAUUAUUUCUCUCCUUUUUUUUUUUCAUCAGAAAUCUUUUACAUGCUUAACUGGACAGAGCAAAGAAGUUCACUAAAACAUUUUCUGUUCUGUCCCAUUUUUGUAGGCACAUGCUCAAACACUCUGAAAAAAUAAUCCAAUGUUUUUCACUAAAACAACUUCUAAAUACAAAAUAAUCCACACCAGGGAAUAUGUCUCCUCACAAACAGGAAACCUUUGAAAUGUACUCUGAAUUUCUAAAUGAAAUAGUCUGAAUCCUAAAUUCUAAGCUUUCCUGAAGCAUGCUGGACUUCCCUCCUCUCAUGGGAUCAAAGAAUACCCCAAGUUGGAAGGGACCCAUGAGGAUCAUCAAGGCCAGCUACUGGUUCCAUACACAAAUAUCCAAAAUUCAAACCCUAUGUCUGAGAGAGCUUUCCAAAUGCUUCUGGAUCUUUGGCAGCUUGGGAAGCCUGUGCCAUGCCCACAGUCCUCUGGUAAAGAACCUUUUCUUGACACCACCUUGACCCUCUCAUAAUACAACUCCAUGCUGUUCCUUUGUGUCCCAUUGCUGUCACCAGAGAGCAGAGCUCAGCACUGCUCCUCUGUGCCCCGUGAGGAGAUGUAGGCUGCCAUGAGGCCUCCCUCAUGACCAUUCUAACAUUCUCUUUUCCUAGUGUCACCUGUGGAACUUUAUAAGUACGGAAAAGGAACCACCAAAGCCAUUAUUGCCUGACCAGGAACAAAGAAGAAUAAAUUAUAUGUGAUCAUGCACUAACAAACUCCAUGAGAUUGUUUCUGUUGUAACCGUUAUCCCACUUUUGCCUCUCCUACAUUCCUAUUUACUGCAAUAUCUACAGCAGUAAUAGACAGCACUACAACAACCUUGACUGCAAAGCUAUUGCUUGUAUUGCUCAUCCAGAAGACCU